CGCGGGGCGUGCCGGGAAGACGCGGAUGUUGCGGACGCCGCGGGAGCUGGCGUCAUGGUUGUGCUGGGCUUCAACUCGUUGCUGAGUCAUAUCCCGGCCACAGCGUGGAGAGCGGCAAGAUCACCCAUUCUGUGUCAUUCUUUGAGGAAAAUAAGUUCUCAAGGAGAAAAAUCCAAACCCAUCAAACAACCCCUUAAGAAGCCAAAGUUACCAGAAGGUCGUUUUGAUGCACCAGAAGAUUCCAAUUUAGAGAAAGAACCACUGACAAAAUUUCCAGAUGAUGUUAAUCCUGUUACCAAAGAAAGAGGUGGACCCAGGGGCCCAGAACCUACCCGAUAUGGAGAUUGGGAACGAAAAGGACGCUGUAUUGAUUUUUAAGCCACAUAUUCGUUAACUUCACCAGAUCACUUGGGUUCAGAUCCCAGCUCCACUACUUACUAGCUUAUGUGACCUUGGGCGCGCGGGCCUCUCACUGUUGUGGCCUCUCCCGUUGCGGAGCACAGGCUCCGGACGCGCAGGAUCAGCGGCCAUGGCUCACGGGACCAGCCGCUCCGCGGCAUGUGGGAUCUUCCUGGACCGGGGUACGAACCCGUGUCCCCUGCAUCGGCAGGCGGACUCUCAACCGCUGCACCACCAGGGAAGCCCGGUUUCUAAUGUUGAUAAGAGACAAGUAGCAAAAAGUUCCCCUUGGGUUGCAGGGGCAUGGGAUUAGAAAAGGUAGGCGGCGGUUAAGGAAGACGAAGUGGGGCAGGUCUAGCCAGGGUGCAGCCCAAGGGGAGACAGGAGGGCUGGGAGGCUUUAACCCAGAAACAAGCUUGGUCACAAAACGUCUGAGACCGGUCCUGGUUUUAGCGUAAUUUUUAUAAGGAUGUAAGCUGAGCCACAGGCAUGGCCCUCAUGUCCUGCACAUGAACCAAGAACUUCAGGCUAUGUAAGGCUGACCCCACGUACUUUUAGAACCAUUAAAUUCACUUAAACUGCCCACAUUAUUUACAUUUAACCUUUAUUGAGGAAAUCUAAAGAGAAUUACUAGAAAUGGGGAUCGGCUUCAGCAAGUGCCAAAAUAACAGAACAAAACUCAUUACCACGUUCAGAUACUUUGCAAAAUUUAUACGAGUAAUUAAGAUGUAAAAGGCAAGAAGAGUUUCAGACAAGAAUAACGUUGACAUUUUCAGACGCGCUGCCGAAGCGAAGCUCCUCACCUGGCACCGAGCAGGCUGGCUUGCAUGAUCAGCAGUGAGGGGUGAGCUGUUGAGGACGGCCUGCCAGGGCCCCCGCCACCUGCCAGGCCCCUCCGCUGCAGGCCCGCAGGCAGGCCUUGUCUCCACUCGGGUCGGGUCACCGAAAAGAUGCUUCAGCGUGAAAUGUCAUAGCUGUUUCAGUCAUUGAAAUGCGAGAUAGUUCCCGCUUUUCUUCACAGUGGACAUACUAGAUAAAUCUUUCAGGGCACACUCAGAACCAGUUCAACACCUACAUAUCAUGGUUUAAUUUAAGCCCUCUCCUGAAAUUUGCUUUUCCCCGGUCUUUCCCCACUACACUCUCCGAUACUCCUCACAUUCGAGUCACUCCCGAAGGCCCCCACGGUCCUUACUGGUCACAGUUGAAGGUAUUAAGGGGCGAGUUAGCAUGUGUAGCUCAUUAAAAGGUGUUAAUUAUUUUUAAAAAUUUAUUUAUUUUGGGGCUGUGUUGGGUCUUUGUUGCUGCGCGCGGGCUUCUCAUUGUGGUGGCUUCUCUUGUUGUGGAGCAUGGGCUCUAGGCACAGGGGCUGCACUAGUUGUGGCUCGUGGGCUCUAGAGCGCAGGCUUAGUAGCUGUGGUGCAUGGGCUUAGUGGCUCCGCGGCAUGUGGGAUCUUCCCGGACCAGGGCUCGAACACCAUGUUCCUUUCAUUGGCAGGUGGAUUUUUAACCACUGCAACACCAGGGAAGUCUCGGUGUUACUUACUUUUCAUGCAUUCAUUGCUACUGGGUAUUAAGCAGUCCCCUGUGGAAAGUGACCAGACAUGUCAUCUUUGUUAUUGUUGCUUAAGCUCUUAUUUGGAAGUUUUCAAAAUACACAAAAGUAGAAAGAAUAAUACAGUGUGUCCCCCAUGUACCCAUCGCUCAAGUUUAACAGUUAUUGAUAUUUAUCAAAAGCUAUUAAUUUUGUUUCAUUAUCCCUUUACACUUUUUCUCCCCUCUGAGAUAUUUUAUGGCAGACAACUUCAGACUGAAUGUGUAGUUUUUAUAUAGAGGAGUUAAGCAGGUUUCAGAGGAUUUCAGAGAAUGGGUCCCUGGCUGAGCAGCCAGUCUAGCUGGGGAGUGACACGGGUAUAUCAGCGUGAAGGAGGCAUGAGCCCAGGGCUAGGGUAGCAAAAAAUCGAUGGAUGUUUUUAAAUAUAUCUUUUCUGAGAAAGAAACAAUUGAUCUUGACUGCAAACCAAAAAAACGGUCUUGUUCUUUUAAGGUUUUGUUUCACCUACAGUAUAGGAAGAUUGUGCUUAUAUUCACUUCAAGAUAUUUAUUUUAGACGUAACAUACUUACAGUUACACUGGGUUUAAACAUCCUGUUGUAAGCAUGAUGGUAGCCCAUUGGCUCUCUGUUUUAUAGCCUGCUCUUAAAGACCAUGACAAUGAUUUCGCAAAUUUUAGAAAAUACAUUAAAAAGUUUCAUCAUCGCUUACAUUCAGGAAAAUCAUUAUUAUGGGUUCAGUUCUCUUUGAUUAUAUAGUAUAUUUCCAUCUCUUUUCCUUUGGGAAAGUGGCAGUUAAAGUCUUUGGGGCUGUUGUGUUACUUACGAGAGGCUCUGUUUCCAAAUCCUCAGCACGCGUCGUUCAGGAUAGUCCCCCGUCUGCCUUUGAAUGUGAAUGUAACCCGGCGAAUGCGUCCCUCUCGCGCGGGCGUGUCCGGCAGAGGGGGUGUGUCCAGCGCCCUGUGUGGCUCAGCCCUCGGUGCAGAGGCGUCCUCCCUGCUGUGGCUCACAGCCCGUCCGCGCCUCCGGCGCCCGCCGCCCCCUGGGGGUUAGUGAGGGCGCGGCCGGGGAGCGCCGACCCCUCCUGCAUCUCGGCGUCCUUAGCCCUCCGUGGCUCGAGCCGGCCUCUCCCGCGGGCGCGGGUGACUGAGGCUGUGGUCGGGAUGGCCCAGGACGGGGAGCAGCGCCACGCUGACGUCAUCUGUUGCUCAGGAAAAAAUCCACUGGGCUUUGUUCUCAGGUUACUGUUUCCCUUCAUUGUGGUGGCCUCGGCAGUCCAGUAAGGCGAGGCCAGGAUUGUGUUCUUAGGGUCUUUUUCUGCUCUUUGAGGGGGACUCAACCCGACCACCUCUGAAGGAGAGGGGAGGAGCGCGCAGGCUUUGUGUUCAGUUAGUACAUUCCGGUGCCCAGCUCCAAAAUGCGGCCCGGAGGAAACCCCCCGGGGGGAUGCAGGGAGGAUACCGGACGAAAUGCCGAGCCCACCGUCUGGAAAGCUGCGUUUGUUUCCUCGGGCGGCCAUAACAAGCAGCACAGACUGGCUUAAAACAAUCGGAUUUUUUUUUUGACCGGGGGGGAGGGGGAGGGUACGCUGGGAACACAGUAGGAUUUAUGCUCUCCAGUUCUGCGGGCUGGAAGCCUGAAGUCCAGGUGUCAGCAGAGCCACCCUCCCUCUGAGACGCAGGCGCGCACCCUCCCUUGCCUCUUCCCAACUGCUGCUGGCACGCCGGCAGCCUCUGCCUUCGUGGUCACCUAGCGCUCUCCUCGUGUGUCUCUGGUUUCACAAGGCCAUCUUCUUGUAAGGACACCAGUCAUGUUGGAUUAGGGGCGCACCCUCCUCCGGUACGACCUCAUCUGGACAGAUGACACCUUUUUUCCAAAUAAGCGCACAUUCUGAGGUAUCAGGGGUUAGGACGUCACCAUGUCAUUUUAGGGGAAACACAUUUCACCCGUAAGAAGAGCACAAGGUACCAGUACCGACCUGGUGCGAAGGAGGUGCCAGCGGCCUUGGACUAGGCCCGGCGAGCCGGCGGCACGCGGACUAGCCUCGGUAUCAGCCGGCUGAGGACCGGAGGCUCUGCCCGACUGCCUAGGCUGUGCGCGUCUAGAGACACUCACACAGCCCAGGACACUUGCACAACCCCACUGCAUACCUCCCACGGCAGAGGACUGUGCUAGCGUUUCCGGGGGGGGUGGGGGACGUGGAGACGCCGCCCUCGAGCGCCGGGGAGCGGGGGGCGGUCCGGACCCUCGCACUGGACGUGCGCGUUCUCGGCGCUCCCCGGGCCGUCCCCACUUCCCGCCACUUCCUGCCACCGCCUGCUUCUCUCCAGGUGCCUCAUUGUCUCACUCGCUGUCCACGGUUGCUGCUACUCUCCUUUGAUUUUGCCGUUCGAAACUUUUAUGGGUUGUGUACACAUAGACAAAAAAAACAGGGUCACUUCCUGGUCAAAGGUGCCACCUCUUCCUGGUCGGCAGGCUUAGUGAUAAAACAUGUUGCAGUGACGGUUUUUCUUUAAUACACCCUAUAUAAAAUGUGUAGGAAAGAGCCCGCUCCCCUGCCAGACGCUAUAAGCAGCAGGGGAGGGGUAGAAAAACACUCCUCAGUCAGCCCCUGGGGGUUGAGAAUAUGGGAGGUUGGAUGUUUUUUCUUCCAGUUACAUAAAAUCACAGAAGUGCCCCAUUUCUGCUCAAAUUCAUUUGAGAUAUCACCGCUCUGACUUUUCCUUAGUUGAAAAACUAAUAUCUGUCUGCAGUUUUUUAAAUCGCAUAAAUAGCAACCUCCCACUCAGAGACAAACUGGAAACCUCUGUACACUGUUCUCUAAUCAAAGCAUCUUCACCCCAGUGGCACAGAGGGGGAAAAAAAUCCAAGAAAUAAGGUACAUCGGGCAAACUAUGAAAUCAUAAAAAUAUUAUGUAAAAGCAUUUUAGUUAUAUUUGAUAAUAGAACUAAUUUAGCAAUAAAAUUGCAAAACCACUUGAUUUAUUGAAUACUUUAAAAAAAAGUUCUCCUUUAAAACAAUGAGAAGGUAUGGCUGUAGGAAAUUGCCCUGCACCUUCCCUUAGUAGAAAUCAUUAAGGCGGUUUUAACCAUCUGAAUGCAGGAUCAUUUUACAAAGAGGAAGUCUAUUUUAUAGUUAUAAAAUUUCACAUAGAUAAAAUUUGUCUUCAGGGCUGUGCGUGUUUGUGAUCCGUUGCCUGAAUUACACCUGCAGCAGCCCAGGGAAAAUGACUGAUUCACCGACUCAUUCCUCUAAAGCUUUAUCAGCCAUAACCUAUUAAAAUGUAAACGAGGCCAGUGGGAACCAGAGGACAGAUUCUGUUGAACUGGGAGCAGUGCCUUGAGUCUGCCGUCGCAGGUGGACCAGCAAGGCGCAGAUGGCAUCUCUUAGGAAUGGGACUCUGGGUCUGAGGAAGGGUGUGGGUGAAGGUAAGAUGCUUAUCUUGGAAUCACGGCUGUUAGAUCCUGACCACAGGCUGUCGAUCUCGAAAGUGCCCAGAACUGAUCUCGGGUGCAGCCUUGUCAGCAGAGGUGCAGAGCCUAGUGAGAGCACGGGCUGAGGUCGCCCUGCUGCUCAGAAGCUCCAGGGCCAGGACUGAGGUGUCCUCACCCCCCAGUCAGUGCUCAGAACCUCCUCCCACCCCGACCCCAUUGCCGCUCUUGAAACUAACUUUCAAAUGUCACUAACUUAGAAGAGCAGGUUUCCGGUUUGAAUUUGUUUUAUUGGAGGAGUCUAUGGUAGAUCGUUAAUGUAAUAUUUUCGUCCACAUUUAGCCAUUUCAAAGAUUAACAUAUGGCAUAGAUGAAACUGACAGUCAAGCAGAUACCUUCUUAACUUUAGAAAUGAGUUGCUAACCUCCAUUUCAAAAUUCUCAGGAAACCUACUUGCUUUCUUAACUGCUUAGAGGACUUUAAAGGGAGGCCCUCAAGCACAGUGUUCUCUGCCUACCUGCCUGAGUCUGCUGUCCUGGCCUUCAGCAUCUGGGUGACACUGUCAGCACUUCCGCUGCCCUUUGCAGCAGCAGCGGUGGCUGUCAGCCUGAAUUCACCCCCCCGCACACCCAUCACCCUCAGAAAGCCUGGGAGCGUGUGUCACUCUAACACCAGGGAGCACAGGCAUCGACAGUCUAGUGGCCUAGUUACAUGUCAUUUCCAUCUAGUUUAUCAGUUACUUCUUGGUUUUAAAAGUAUGGAUACAAACUAAAUUACAUUUUGGUAAUUGUUUUUUAUGAAACCAUCCAUUUUCCUUUAUUUAUUUAACUGUCAUUACUACUAAGCAAAACAAAAACAAAAAACGCAGUACACGUUACAUUUUGUUAGGUCAAACCAAGUUGUUAACAGGGUGAAGAGUCAGUAUACAGAAUAUUCAGUGAAAAUCACACGAAGCCACUCUAAAAAAUGUCAUUGCUUUUAUGUGGAAUCUAGAAAAAUGGUACAGAUGAACUUAUUUGCAAAGCAGAAACAGAGACACAGAUGUAGAGAACAAACUUACAGAUAGCAAGCGAGGCGGGGGGCGGGGGGUAGGAUGCACUGGGAGAUUGGGACUGACACAUAUACACUACUAUAUAUAAAAUAGACAACUAAUGAGACCCUACUGUACAGCACAGGGAACUCUACUCAGUGCUCUGUGGUGACAUAAAUGGGAAGGAAAUCCAAAAUAGAGGGGACAUAUGGAUACGUAGAGCUGGUCCACUUUGUUAUACAGCAGAAGCUAACACACCAUUGUAAAGCAACCAUAUUCCAAUAAAAAUUUUAGAAAAUGUCAUCGCUGCCAAGCCACGUGUGGUUCGCAUUCCUGAGAACAGGUAGCUGGUGAGAGUGGAGGACAAGCCCUCAUUCACCCUGGUGAUUUUGACGGUGACUGAGCAGUUGCAAACCUUUCCACUCCUCCCUUCGGCCUCUGGGCGGCCAUCCCAAGGGAGGAAGGACAGGGACAGGUGAGGGUCGCGGGAUGGCCUGAGACACUGCGGUGGGGACAGCACGUUCGAGCUUCCCCACGACGGCCGCCCGUCCCGAGGUGGUGACCGUGAGGGUGGACAGACUCUCCGUGGCGCGCGCGCACGGAGGCCCUCGGCCCUCGUGCUCAACGUCCGCGGGAACCUCCACCUCGUCCGCGUCGCAGGUGCCACGCGCUGUCCCAGGCGCAGGCUGGAGGGGGCGGCACGGGUGCCGGACGGUGGGGAGCUCGCCCUGUGGCCCGGCCCGCGGCUGCCUGCCCUCCUUCCCCAGGGGCACCCCAGCUCUCAUCGGAAGUCAGAACAGGACCCUGCCCGUGCAUGAUACACCCGAGACAGCCAAAGCCCACAAGGACCGUUAGCAGAUUAAAUCGUUUAUAUUCAUACUGAUGAUGUUCCGGAAGCUCUCUGCCUCAGAGGCGCUUGCAAAGCAGCUGUGACUAAAGGCGAACAGGCGCGACACGUGAGUCCUCCCUCCGUUCCUGCAGCCAGGAGCCCAGGCUCAUCACAUCCCUGGGAGAUGAGAUUUCUGAUCGAGGUGGACCGUCUGUCUUAAGGAAAUAAGUAACCUGAUGUAGAAGGAUCGUAGAGCUUGGCACCUGGCUCAGAGAGGGUGAGCGUAGGAGGCACAGGAUCUCGGCAGUCUCCCACCCUCCAGCGAGAGGAUAAAGGGACACAACCCACCAAAGCGACCUCCCUCCACUCAGCCGUCCUUCCUCAGGGGUCCAUGGCCGGGUCAGAGGGCUGACCUCUACCAGGCGGGGAAGACUUGUCCACCAGGAAGCUGCUGGCCUGUCCACAUCCCAGGGGGGCUUUCAGACAUUUGGCCUGGGUUCUAGUUUACGGAUUUUUUCCUGUGAUUGUGAAAUAGCCCUUUCCAAAUGAAAGAUUGACAUAUUUAUUUAUCUGCAGAACUGAUAGGAAGAACACCUUGCUGUUUCUGCACACGGGUUGGAAACUAUGCUUUCACUAGCGUUCGUGAAGAUGUUUUGAAGGAUCUCAAAUUUGAACAGCAAAUUACCAGUCCAAACCAGCACAUUCAUUAACUCCAAGCAGAAUUAAAUCUCAGUUUGUGAGAGUGGUAACAUUAGCUUGAAAACAGGAUACGCUAAAAUUAUAAAAAUCAAAAUAGACUGUCACUUUUACUUGGUUUGUACACAUUUUCUUAAAAUUACGAAAAGGAAUCCAUAGGAUAAUUCUCUCUACUAGCAAUAUACAUAUGUAUGCAUAUGUAACGCUCUCAAGCCAGCUUGGAUAGAUUUUAAAACGUUGUAUAUAUUCAUAUAUAUGUGUGCGUACGUUAUAUGUUAUUUUCCUAAACCUGAGCAGGGAAUUAUUCUUAGAGAAUAGGCUGGGGCAGGGAAAGAACAAGACGAGCCUGGAAAAUCUACUUUUGUCAGAAAGUAAGGCUGUGUCCAAAGACUAAUAAAGAGAAGAACACAGGCGCCAGCUUCAAAACAAAGGUCUCCCGCUGGCCAGAUGGAAACAUUUUGAGGAUAAAUGGUGAUCCGUGUUAUGCUGUGGCAAAAUACACUGUUGCCUCGGAGAACUCGGAAGGCAGAUGCUGUGUCUCUGGACUUGCGACUUUAGGGGAAGGGAUUGGUUAAUAUUUGCCACAUUUCACAAAUUACCACAAAAUGGAUGGGUUCAGAGACGACUGGCUGCUUCAUAAGCAGGAAGAAAAGGGAAUAGACAAUCCAGAAAUUCAGAACUUGUAGCAUUGAGAGAGGCAGCUGCUACUCAACUGCAAAUAAUAAAAGAUGAAAAUAAGAGAAGUACUAAGUUUGCAGCAAGGAUUAGACCAAGGAUAUGGCUGUCAAACCCAUGGUUUACAUCUCUAGAUGGAUAAAAUGGCACCCAGUAAUUUCUUUCAUUUGGAAAGAAGGGCUCAAGAAAAACAGACUGAAGAGAGUGGCUCUCUAGAACUCCCCAGUGUUAACAUCGUACCACAGCGACCUUAUCAUAUUCACUCUCUGCUAUCUCUCUCUUUCCCCAUAAGUGCAUGCACACACACGUAUCACUAUUGCACUUUCUGUACCCUUUGAGAGAGUAAAUUGCAGAUACGAUGCCUGUUAUCCCUAAUACUUUAGCAUUAAUCUAUGAAAACCCACAGCUAACAUCAUACUCAUGGUCAAAGGCUGAGUGCUUUCCCCCUAAGAUCAGGAGUAAGACCAGCAUGUCAGCUCUGCCCCUUCUAUUCUGCAUCGCCCCGGAAGUUCUAGACAGGGCAACUAAGCAAGAAAAAGAGAUAAAAGUCAUCCAACUUGGAAAGUAAGACAGUUAUCUCUGUUUGCUGAUGAUAUGAUCAUGUACAUGGAAAAUCUGAAGGAAUCUACUAAAAAACGAUGAGAACUAAUGAACAAGUCCAGCAAGGUUGAAGGCUACAGGAUCAAAAUACAAAAAACAAUUGUAUUUUUAUGUUAGCAAUGAACAAACCAAAAUGACAUCAAGGAAACACUUUUAUUUACAAUAGCAUCAAAGAGAAGAGAGUACUUAUGAAUAAAUUUUCGAAAGGAAGUGAAAACUGCUCUGAGAACUGCAAAACAUUGUUGAUAGAAACUAAGAAAGAUGUCAACAAAUGGAAAGACAUCCCCAUUCGUGCACUGGAAGACUUAAUGCUUUCAAUGUGGCAAUACCCCCCAAAUUGAUCUAUAGGUUCAAUACAAACUCUCUUAAAAUAUCAUCGGUCUUUUUUUAAUAAGUUGACAAGCUGAUUGCAAAAUCCCAGUGGAAAUGCAAGAGACCCAGACAAGCCAAAGCAACUAAAAAUAAGACAAAACAAAGUCGGAGGAUCCAUGCUUCCUGAUUUCAGAACUUACUAAAAGCUGCAGUAAUCAAGACUGUGGUACUGGCAUAAGGAUAGACAUAUAGAUCAAAGGGAUAGAAUUGAGAGUUCAGAAAUAACCCUCACAUGGUCAACUGAUUUCUGACAAUGAUAGCAAGACAAUUCAGUGGAGAAAGAAUCAUCUUUUCAAGAAAUGGUGCUGGAACAACUGGAUAUCCACACGCGAAAGAAUAAAGUUGUACCUGUUCCUUAUAACGUAUACAAAAAAUUAACUCAAAAUUGAUCACAGACCUAAAUGUAAGAGCUAAAACCAUUAAGCUCUUAGAAGAAAGCCUAGGAGUGCAUCUUCACGACCUUGGGUUAGGCAAUGAAUGGUUUCUUAGAUAUGACACCAAAAGGAAAGCUGGACUUCAUCAAAAUUUAAAACUUUUGUGUUUCAAAGGAAAACAUCGUGAAAGUAAAUGACACCCCACAGAAUGGGAAAAAAUAUUCGGAAUGCAUAUAUCUGGCAAAGGACUUAUGUCCAAAAUAUAUAAAAAACAACUUAACUCAAUAAUAAAAAUACAGGGAGCCCUGGUCCGGGAAGAUCGCACAUGCUGCGGAGCAACUCAGCCCGUGUGCCGCAACUACUGAGCCUGCGCUCUAGAGCCCGUGAGUCACGACUACUGAGCCCACGUGCCACAACUACUGAAACCCGCACGUGCUCCGCAACGAGAGCCCAUGCUCCGCAACGAGAGAAGCCACCACAGUGAGAAGCCCGCGUGCCGCAACAAAGAGUAGCCCCCGCUCGACGCAACUAGAGAAAGCCCACAUGCAACAAUGAAGACCCGACGCAGCCAAAAAUAAUAAAUAAAUCAAUUAAUUAAUUUAAAAAAACUCACCAUUAAAAAAAUUUACAAUAAUAAUAAAAAUACAAAUAGGCAAAGGAUCUUAAUGCACGUUUCUCCAAAGAACAUAUACAAAUGACCGAUGAGGAUGUGGAGAGAUGCUCAACAUCAUUGACCAUUACGGAAACACAAAUCAAAACCACAGUGAGACGACACUUCACAUAUACUGUGAUGGCUAUAGUAAAAAGUAGACAAUAGCAAGUGUUGGAGAGGAUAUGGAGAAAUUGCAAACCUCAUACACUUCUGUAGGAACGUAAAAUGGUGGAGCUGCUUUGAAAAAAUGUUCCUCAAAAUAGUAAACAGUUUAGCAUAAUUACCGUAUGACCCAGCAACUGAAAUGAAAGCAUGUCACACAAAAACUCUAAAUAAAUAGCCAUAGCAGCGUUCUUCAUAACAUAAUUGUUGUAUUUUAGAUCUCUGCUAAUUAGGCUAGCAAGCGUGGCACUUUGGUGUACUCUUAACUGAUUUCUAAGCAGGUAGAGCAUUUCUGUGUUUAUCACUUUUAUUUGUUUUGUUUUGUUUUCUCCAUGUCUUUUGCCCAGGCUUUCAUUUCAUUUCUGUUGAGGUGUCUUUUUCUUAUUGAUCUGUAUGUGAAGCAGAUCUUACUAAAAAAAUGAGCUGCGUUUGACAUGAUGGGUGGGGAGGUCUGAGAUUCAGGGAUCCACUUCAGUACUUGGCCCAGAGUUAAUGGUGAAAAAUCAUGAACAAAUGAGGAUAUCUGCUCUCACCACUUCUAUUUAACAAUUUAAAUAGUGGGCACAACUGCCCCCCAAAGUGGGAGCAACUCAAAUGUCCGAUUUGAUGAAUGGAUAGAUAUACUGUGGCAUAUACAGAAAUACUGAUACCUGCUACAGCGUGAAUGAGUCCUGAAAACACUAUCGUACAAGAAAGAAGCCAAUAACAGAAGGUCACGUUGUAGAGUUCCAUUUAUAUGAAAUGUCCAGAAUAAAAUCUACAGAGACAAACAUCAGCGUUGAAGGCUAGAAGGGAGAUUGGGGUGGUGGGGAGGAUGAGGUGUAUGUGCUCUUGGGUCUCUUCUUGGGGCGAUUGAAAGGUUCUAAGUUGAUUCUGAUGAUGGUGGUACAACUCUGUGACUAUACUGAACACCAUUUAAUUGUUUACGUUAACGGGUAAAUUAUAUGGUCGUGGGUUUUUUAAAAGUAUGUGUUUAUUAAAGUGAAAAAAAAAUUUUAACACUGAAAUGUCCAACCAAUUACAGAGUUUAAGAUCUGUUGGCAUUUCUUUUUUAUUUUUACACUGAGGGUAAAAGACUGUGUUCAAAAUUACCUGGAUUCAUUUAUUUUUUUCUCUGAAGUUAUGUUUAUUUGAAAUACAACAAGGUUAAUUUGUUUCUGUUUAUAUUCAAUUUUAGAGUUGUAUCUGCAUCCUUACUGAUGUAAUUUUAGUUUUGAAUAUUUAAAACUUCUGUGUUUCCAGAAUAAAAACUGUAUAUGUUAUACCCAGAAAAGUGUUGCUCCCUCUCUUAUUCUUUCAACUUUGUUCCCACCCAAGUUCCAUGUAUCAUUAUGAUCAAUGUCAUUAGUUUCUUGUUAUCUUUCCUAAGUUUCUUUUUGGGAGAAGAUUUUUGAGAAGCAACGAAGUAAAACACGAAGCAGUAAAAACUGAAAACAUAAUAAAAUUGGAUGAUAGAACUAAGGUAAAAUGGAUAGACUCACUUAUUAAAGGAUAAUAAUAUCAAUUUCGAACUUCCCUGGUGGCACAGUGGUUAAGAAUCACCUGCCAAUGCAGGAACAUGGGUUCAAGCCCUGGUCCGGGGAGAUCCCACGUGCAGCAGGGAAACUAGGCCCAUGCGCCACAACUACUGAGCUUGCACUCUAGAGCCCGUGAGCCACAACUACGGAAGCCUGCACGCCUAGAGCUGGUGCUCCGCAACAAGAGAAGCCACCGCAACGAGAAGCCCGCGCACCGCAACGAAGACCCAAGGCAGCCAAAAAUAAAUAAGUAAAUAAAUUAAAUUUUUAAAAAAUCAAUUUAGAUUACAAAGCAAAACCUAAAACUAAGCACCAAGUAGGACACACACAUUAAAAAAGUGACUCAAUUUGAAAGUAAAAGAAUGGUCAAAGAUAUAUCAAACAAAUUCACACAAAAAGAAAAUAGAGACCCCAAUACUAUUAUCAGACAAGGUCGAAUCUAUAGAAAAAAACUUUAAACUAGACAAAGAAGGUGCCAUUACAAUGAUAAAAGGGUCCCCUGAAAAUGCAUGCACAUUGGCCCAGCAAUUCCGCCUUUAUUUAAGAUGUAUGUAAGGUUAUGACUGUGUUAUUGUUAUAAUAGCAAAAGGCUGAAUAUAGUCCACUACCCCCAAAUUUUGUCAUUAGGACUGGUUGAAUGAAUUGUAGUGUGGAAUACUGUGUAGCCCUGGAAGAUGAUGCCCUGCUAAGUGACAGCCUCCAGGAUAUGCUGUUAAGUGAAAAACGCAGGACACAGGACAGUGUGUGCAGCUCGCUCGAGCCUGUCUGCGGUCAUGGUCUGUGCCUGGACAGCCUCGGCCUGGGCUGCGGGGUGUCUGUCAUUUCUCUGCAGAGGAGGAGUGGGGAACGGAGCUCGAGGGGAGGAGGUAUUAAAAAUGGUUUUUUUUUUCAAAUAUUGAAAUAGGGUAAGAAAAUGCAAAUGGGCUAAGAAAGUGUACAGGUAUACCCAUAAAUAAGAUGGCAUAUAUACCUUCUUACCAUAUUUGAAUUCUUACCGUAUAUGCAUGUAUUGCCUUUUCAAUUAAAAAUAGCCCAUUUUAAAAGGCUUAAAAGAUGAAAAUCCCUUCCAGACCCAAAAUUCUAUUAUAUCAUCAUUAUGCAUUACACCGUUCAGUAAAGAAUCUUCAGGAAUCCACUGUGAAUUGAGGUGUGACCAUUAGAAAACGGUUGUUCAUGUGAUUUGAGACUUAGGUACUGCUGCGUAUUUUGUAAACCACGUGUUUAAUUUCGUCGCCAGAGGUUUGGAUGUCAGAAUGUACCACAGGGUAAGUCUGGUUAUUUCUUUCCAAGAUGAAGUGGAUUGUCUGCCAAGGCCAGCAUCUCGAAGCCCGUGGGAAAGUUUUAGAGGAACGCCCCCUUCCUCCACGCAGGGAAGGCAUCGAGGUGGAGUAGAAAGUCCCUUGCUGUGUGUUUCAGGCUGUUUGAAUCCUGGCUGACCGCUUCCUUUCCGUGUGUUCCUGAGCAAUUCACCUUGUCUCCUGCAAUCUAAGAUUCCUCCUACGGAAUGGGGGGCGGCUACUUCUGCCCCACUGGUCUCCUGGGGGGUUGCAGGGAACCAGUGAGGGAUGGAUAAGGAGAGACUGAUCACGUCUAAGGGGUUAUUUAUCAUGUCACUACUCAGCACCUGGAGGUCACAUUGGAAACACCCCCAAAAGGAAUAGCCCGAUACCCAGCUGUCAGCUUUCUGGAGUCAAGAAGACAGCCACCGUGGACCGGCUGGCUCAGAACACGUGGGGACAGCUGCUCACUGACGUGUGCACGUUGAAACUGUCCUGACACGUGCGAGGCGACUUCAGGGCCACGAGGCAGAAACACUCAGGCUAAGAUCGGAGGAACAGAAAGGACGGUGACCUCAGAGACUCACAGCUGUCGUGGCAAACCUCCCAUGCCAUCUUGCUUUGGGGAAAUUGCCAUUUCAAAGGCGGGUAAAGACGAGUGGGGAUCAAAAGGCAAUGUUAAUAACUCAGAACCCAGAUUAACGGUCGGGAGGGCCCUUUCCACACGUGAGCCCAAAGGAGAGGAAUGAAGGGAAAUUUUCCUCCAUCAGGUAAGGACUGCGGGUGGAUCAGAGUCGGCCCGGCCCAGUUCCGAGGGCCCCGCUCAGAGACAGGAAGGGGGACACACGUGUGCCUUCCUGUGCAGUUGGCAGGUGGGCACUCACACACACACCCGUGUCUCCAAAAAGGACCCAAUUACCGAGGUAUUAGUAUGGCAAAAGGUAUUGCGUAAUAAGUCAGCACAUGCAUUUAGAACGGUCUAAAAGUCAUUUAUUGGAAAGAACAAGCCCAGUUUCAAACGGUCAUUUUAUUACCAUCUUAUGCCGAAGGUUAUCAUUUGUCUUUUUUAUAUUUUCUUUUAUAUCCGAUUUAAUAUUUUUAUGAGACAACUUGAAUAAUAAAUCAUAAGAUAUGUCUUUAUUAUUAUUAUUUUUGCGGUACGCGGGCCUCUUACUGCUGUGGCCUCUACCAUUGCGGAGCACAGGCUCCGGACGCGCAGGCUCAGCGGCCAUGGCUCACGGGCCCAGCCGCUCCGCGGCAUGUGGGAUCUUCCCGGACCGGGGCACGAACCCGCGUCCGCCUGCAUCAGCAGGCGGACUCUCAACCACUGCACCCCCAGGGAAGCCCAUGUCUUAAUUAUUUUUGACCUUUCUGAGUUUUCUCACUUCUCUGCUGUUCCUAUAACAAUUUCAUCAGCAAGAAGAAAUUAAACAGAGGUUUUAAAAGAGAUGUUUCUGUGUGAUGCAGGCUCAGGAAGACUUACUAGAAAAGGAACUUGUGUUAAAAAGAAAGUGGGGACUGGAUAUUAGUGGCUGAUGAGCUUAGUACGCACCACAGAAUGAUAGAUGCUUAAAAAAAAAAGGCAAAAUAAACUUAGGUUCCAUUUAUGGAAAUAAAGUGCUCAGAGCACAGGAAAGUAGCAGUUCUGUUUUCUGCUGAUCAAACCACAACCGAGAUAAAGAGCUCAAUUUGGGGGAACACCAUCUAGGAGUGAUAUGGAGGAGGGCCUCCAGAACAGGGAGAAUCUGGCAACAGCCACGGGAGGGAGCACAGAAGGCACUGGGAGGAUUAGCCUGAGAAGAGAACAAGAGAGGGACACAGGACAAUAGUCUGAACUUAGACAGGGAGCCACCAAGUGGAAGAAAGUGUAAACUUGGGUUCUGUUCAUCCACAGAACUAGGGUCCCUAUGCAGAAAUCAGAGGGAGGCAUGUUAAUGGGGGUAAAUUAUCUAAAAUUAUGUUCUCGCAAGUAGAUCUCUCUGAGAAUGGAACGUGCUGUCUUGGAGAGUAGACGGUUCCCAACACUGAGGUGGAAGACGAAGGGACAUCUGGGGCUUCCCUGGUGGCACAGUGGUUAAGAAUCCGCCUGCCAAUGCAGGGGACCCGGGUUUGAGCCCUGGUCCGGGAAGAUCCCACAUGCCACGGAGCAACUAAGCCCGUGCGCCACAACUACUGAGCCUGCGCUCUAGAGCCCGCGAGCCACAACUACUGAGCCUGCGAGCCACAACUACUGAGCCCGCGUGCCUAGAGGCCAUGCUCCGCAACAAGAGAAGCCACCACAGUGAGAAGCCCAUGCACCGCAACGAAGAGUAGCACCCGCUCACCACAACUAGAGAAAGCCCGCGCACAGCAACAAAGACCCAACGCAGCCAAAAAUAAAUAAAUUAAAAAAAAAAUAAGAUGAAGGACGUCUGUCAGGCGCACGGGGAGCAGCGCCUUCUAACAGAAGGAGACUCGUGCAGGCUGGAAACGUCCUGGUCCAUCCUGCCGAGACCCGAGCCCCUACCACAGGGGCAAGAGCCCUAGAAACAGACUGGUGGGACUGAGGGACUGAAUUAUUUUGUUGUAAGUAACUGUAAUGUAACAAUCCUAUGAGGGAAGAGGGGACAACAUUGGAAAGUGCAGCCGAAGAGUCUAGAAGAAAUCCCUGCGUUGAGCUGGAGUGUGGACUAAACCACCCUAAGGGUUCCAAUCUGACCUCCUAAUGCUUCCCUCACCCCACUCCUCUAACACGAACUGGCUCGUGUCUCCUUGAACCCGCCGUGCUAUUUCAUGUUGGUGAAGGUUUUGUCUGCGUGGAACGCCCUCCUCCAGCGAGGUCUGCUUUUCCUCAUCCUUCCUCACAUUCUCAGUGACUCUUCUUCUGGAAGACCUUUCCCCCUCCCCCCAACACCUAACGUCUCCUGUGUCUGGGAAAUGUAUCUCUUAGUGAGGGCAUCAUGCAAUGUUCCAACCAUCCAUUGACAUCUCCCGCUCACCCCCUAGCUUGAGACUCCUAAGGGAAGGGCAGCUUCGUGUCUGCAGCAUCUUGGGCUCCCAUAGCUAUGCUGCUGAGCAGAGAUUGUGCGUGAACAUGCCUGACACUCCACCAAACACACGUAUUUACAAAAUGACACCCAGAAGUCUCCAUAUAAGGGGGGAUGUUACAACUUAUCAAUUACAGGUAAGGAUAAAGAAGUCGAGUUAGUAAAAUAAUUUGUCCAAGAGAGAACAAACUGGUGGUUGCCAAGGGGGAGGGGGUGGCG
Globicephala melas (long-finned pilot whale) is the source of this 16809-nucleotide RNA transcript. It is a transcript of the gene named succinate dehydrogenase complex assembly factor 4, with no coding region annotated. NCBI's taxonomy places the organism in Eukaryota, Metazoa, Chordata, Mammalia, Artiodactyla, Delphinidae. The record is from RefSeq and is a predicted model, not a curated record.